This 482-nucleotide ribosomal RNA is filed under the name uncultured bacterium. Its description in RNAcentral is "partial 16S ribosomal RNA". It matches the Rfam family "Bacterial small subunit ribosomal RNA", at positions 30 to 507 of the family's 1533-position model. The record is from RNAcentral.
AUUGAACGCUGGCGGCAUGCUUUACACAUGCAAGUCGAACGGUAACAGGCCGCAAGGUGCUGACGAGUGGCGAACGGGUGAGUAAUGCAUCGGAACGUGCCCAGUCGUGGGGGAUAACUACUCGAAAGAGUAGCUAAUACCGCAUACGAUCUAUGGAUGAAAGCGGGGGACCGUAAGGCCUCGCGCGAUUGGAGCGGCCGAUGUCAGAUUAGGUAGUUGGUGGGGUAAAGGCUCACCAAGCCAACGAUCUGUAGCUGGUCUGAGAGGACAACCAGCCACACUGGGACUGAGACACGGCCCAGACUCCUACGGGAGGCAGCAGUGGGGAAUUUUGGACAAUGGGCGCAAGCUUGAUCCAGCAAUGCCGCGUGCAGGAAGAAGGCCUUCGGGUUGUAAACUGCUUUUGUACGGAACGAAACGGCUCUGGUUAAUACCCGGGGCUAAUGACGGUACCGUAAGAAUAAGCACCGGCUAACUACGUG